AUCUUUUUGCAGUUCAUAAGCUUGAUGAUUGGGUGUUCACACCGUUGUGUGACAUGUGGCUUCCUCAAACCUUGUUAUGACAUCCAUGCAUGACCCGUCUGACA
Molecule: small nucleolar RNA, 104 nt
Organism: Zalophus californianus (California sea lion)
Lineage: Eukaryota; Metazoa; Chordata; Mammalia; Carnivora; Otariidae
Product: small nucleolar RNA U13
Source: Ensembl